UGCCCAGCAACUCCUAUCCCUACCUCCUCGCGGUACUGGCCGGGGUACGAGUAACCUUAGGGAAGAUCGGGUAACCAACCCCCGGUGGGAACUUUGGUCGUAUGCUGACAGGAAAGG
RNAcentral lists this ribozyme (117 nucleotides) under Aedes aegypti (yellow fever mosquito). RNAcentral's name for it is "drz-agam-1 ribozyme". It matches the Rfam family "drz-agam-1 ribozyme". The record is from Rfam by way of RNAcentral. Lineage: Eukaryota; Metazoa; Arthropoda; Insecta; Diptera; Culicidae.